CACGUAGGGUGCGAGCGUUGUCCGGAAUUAUUGGGCGUGAAGAGCUCGUAGGCGGCUCGUCGCGUCGACCGUGAAAACUUGGGGCUUAACCCUAAGCUUGCGGUUGAUACGGGCGGGCUAGAGUUCGGUAGGGGAGACUGGAAUUCCUGGUGUAGCGGUGAAAUGCGCAGAUAUCAGGAGGAACACCGGUGGCGAAGGCGGGUCUCUGGGCCGAUACUGACGCUGAGGAGCGAAAGCGUGGGGAGCGAACAGG
RNAcentral lists this ribosomal RNA (253 nucleotides) under uncultured bacterium. RNAcentral's name for it is "partial 16S ribosomal RNA". It matches the Rfam family "Bacterial small subunit ribosomal RNA", at positions 524 to 776 of the family's 1533-position model. The record is from RNAcentral.